AAAAAAAAAAAAAAAUUCCAGACAGUUACACUGAUUGCUUCCAGUGAUUCAAGCCCACUGGUAUUCAUGGCAUUUACGUCCUUGGGUAGAGUCUCCUCCUAAACUGACUUUGGGCUCGUCCUUAUGAAUCGCUUGGCUCAUGGGACCUGUGACACAGCAGAGGCUGGAUAAGCACGCACACACUGGGGCUUACAUUCUCAGAAUCCAGAUGCCCAGUAAAAAGAGAGGUCCCAGCUUCCCAUCUACCUCCACCAAGUGAGACCUUCCAGCUCCAGGCAACCCACCUGCCGAAUGCAGCUUCUUGAUCAAGCCCAGGCAAGACCAGCAAAAGAACCACCCAGCCAAGCCACAAAAUCAUGAGAAGCUGAAGCUUGGAUAUGGUCAUGACCCAGCUUUGACAGUGCAACUAAGGACAACAUCCUACGGAUGAUGACGCACAACGAGAUGGGAAGCGGCCAGAUCCCCAGCUGACCAGUCUGGACCACUCUGGUUUCUGGUCCCAGAAAAGCACCUGAUAAAAAAACAAGUGUUCAAUAAGCCUUUCCUGAUUGAUUGAAUGGGUGCCUGAAUUGGUAAGAACUAAAGCCAUAAAAAGUGAAUUGGAUUAAAUCUGAAGGGCCUGGGGUGUCCUGGAUAGGAAUUUGGACUUUACACUGCCCACAUUAAGGCUCCAUGGAAAGUUUUCAAGCAGAGAGAAUGAACUUUGCGUUUUCUGGCUGCUCAGAAUCGUGUUAGCUGGCGACGCCUGCUGGCCGUUUGGAACACUGCAGCCUAGCGCAGGCUGUGACUCCAGGGAAGAAGAGAUGAAGCAGUUGUUAAAUACUGAAAGUUACAAAUUAGAGGGCUAACACCUUGUGAUAAAUAACCUUUUGGAACUACUCUGGACCAUUCAGUGUGAUGGGUGCUGUAGUGGGGAUGGAGCAAACUUUAGACAUGGCUCCUGGUGUGGAAAUUUUAGGUUUCUUUUUUUAGCGUUUCUGUCCCUUGCUCUUAAGUUUAUAAAAAAUGCCUCUUCAACAGCUGGCCCAGCUGACACAACAGCUGGCCCAGACAGAGCAACACCUGAACAGUCUGAUGGCCCAGCUGGACCCCCUUUUUGAGCGUGUGACUACCCUGGCUGGAGCCCAGCAGGAGUUUCUGCACAUUGAAGCUGCAGAACGUGCACCAGCUGCUACAAGAGAGCAAGACAAAGCAAGGGCGUGGAAGUUCCGGAACCAGAGGCCAGCAUACUCUUUCCUAAGGUCUUAUGUAUAGAGGAGGGAGAGGAAGGGGCUGGUGACAGUCAGACCCCAGAGGACCCCCUAACCUGGAGCACAGGGACAAGAAACCUAGCAACACCCAGGGAAAUGGUGCGGGGGGCUAAGGAGCAAAUGCAGGAAGGCGGCAGCAAGGGCCCCGUCACAGACCCCAACUGGGAAGGAGGGACAACAGCUGACGGUUUAGUAAAACAAUCUGUUCUUAUGAAAAAAAAAGAAAAAAGCCUCUUGCACCCUCUGCUUCCUUCUGUAAUUCUUUCUCGUCCAUUUGCAUCGACUUAACGCCUUUCUCAUUUCUACCAAAGGAGUAAGUUAUUUGAGCCAACUUGUGAUUUUGAUUUAAAAAAAAAAAAAGAACCACAACCAAACCAAAAACCGCACACUGUGUGCACCACAACGAAGAGCAGCCCCGCUCACCUCAACUAGAGGAAGCCCGCGCGCAGCGGCGGAGACCCAACGCGGCCAAAACAAACAAGCAAGCAAACAAGACCCCCCACUGUCGUAAGAGAUGAGCCAUUUUCUCGGAUGAGACGGUACACCGAGGUCUUUGGCUUGACCCGCUGGGGAGAUUUUUCUCCGUUCUCAGUGUUGAGAGAAUAUGUUCUAUUCCUAAAAACCAGUUAGAUUGCACCUAAAGACGCUGUGCAGUCCCUGCAAUGAUCCUUUGCCCUUUAACUUCGGCCUCCGGAAAGAGACUUAGAGAAACUUUCUGGCCCCCUUUUAGCAACUGGAUAAGACUGUGCUUUUCUCUGUGCCAAUAUCAUACCUGAGUUUUAAAAAUCUUCUUUAUGUUUUUGUAAGCCACUACAGAUCUCUAACACAACAUAUGACUAACCAUUGGAAUGACUGGCCCAGAUAAAAAGUGUCUAGGAAACCACAGGACUGGAGAGGUGAAGGAGGAGGGCCUUAGGAGAGGGUCUGUACCUGGAGGGGUGGGGGGAGGAGGGCAAGGUUAAGCCUUGAAGGGAAGAUGGUACAUGGUAGGCUCUCCCCAUUCCUAGCAAUUCUCUCACACUUUCCUUAUAACUCUUGUCCUGGCUACUGCAGAUGACAAAAGAGCCGGUGUCUGAGAUGAUUUUUAAAAUACUUGAUGAACUGGUAACUAGCCACUCCCAUCCUCCGCCCCGAGUGGGCAGGUCUAACCGGGGCACCUGCGUCCUCCCCAGGUUGCCGUGGGGACGCCCAGCAGUACUGGAGGCAAGAGGGUGGCCUUCCCUGAGCGGACUGUGCAGAGCUGCUUUUUGUGGGUUGGUUGUUGUUUGUUUGCGUCGGGGGAGCUCAUGUAGGAGUUAAGUGAAUUAAGCUACAAAGAGCUGGCGGUUCCAGCAGAAAGGGGCCUUAGUUUUCUGCCAGCAAAGUGUUGCAAUCUGUUUUGACGGCCGUGCAUCUCUGUGCACGGAAAAGGUGCUUUUCCUUGCUUCCAGCUGCUAGAAAAAGGAGGGGAAGGAGCUGUCGGCCCUCGUUCCCGAGGCCAGGCUUUCAGACCUGGGCGGGAAGCAAGGCCAGGAUAAGUCCUCCAGGUCUAUGUCCCGCUCCUUUUGCGUCCUCCCAGACCGUUCCUGGGCCGGGCUCGCUGGGGUCCGAGGCUGCCCCACCGGCUCGGCCAGGCCUUCAGCUCAUCACUGGCUCUGUGGCCCCAACACCGGGCCACAUCCCUCACCUCCCUCCCCACGGCGGCGAGAGGCUCCCCACUUCGGGCUGGCAGCCCCCUGAUGCAGAAGACUGGCAGAAUCGACUCUAAAGAUUCAGAGUGACCGGUAAUGAGGACGAUGGACUUCUGCCUAGAGCAAAGUGUCUAUCUCUGCCCUGAGGCCUAGCGAGCAGUGGGGCUGGGGGGACAGCUGGGGGCUUGGGGUCGGGGAGGAGGCCCCUUGAGCCUUCCAAGGGCUCAGCGCAAUGAGGCUGCAGAGCUGGGAGGGCUGUGGAUUUGCAUCUGAAGCUAGCAUUGCCCCGGGUGGGCCUCCAUAGCCCCUAGCUACCUCACCCCAUGGACACUCAGAGGGUCGGGAAGGUGUAGGAGAGAAUCAGGCCUGAGCGGGGGGCUUCUGGGUCCGGGCCUGGCGAGCAACCACUACUCCUCUCCUGAAGUCCUUACCCACAUUAACUCCGAGGUAAGAAACGUGCAUCGUUGUGUUAAGACAGUUUCGAAGUGACACAGCAGUUGAUGACCAACACGUAAAAUGAAGCUGGGACCUUCAGAGGACACGAAGGUGCCUCUCGGCAGGUGUGGCCCGCCUUCCUGCGGCGAACCACAGGAACUUUCUCUCCUGCCCACAAACCUCCCUCUCCCUCCGUGUUUUCAUUCACAGCAGCCCAGGGAGAGACUGAGAUGUAUUUCCUCCUGCCCUUCUGACCCCAUAGUUGUAGGAAAAGUCAUCAAACUCCUUCAAGACUCUGCGCUCCAGCACCACCGCUACCCCAGCCCUUCAGGAGGAACUUAUUCCUCACCACACACCCACCUCAGGAUCUCCUGGCAGCUCCUAGCCCCAUAAAGACAGUCACUCCCUGGACCCCUGAGAGGUCCCCAGGUCUGCACAUUGAAAAGUUGGUGACAACAUCCCGCUCACAUUUUCCCCCGCCAACCUUGAGCCUCAGCCUCUUAUCUGAGGAGAAUCUCUCCAUCAGCAAUCAGUGUUUUAUGGCAGAUACAACACCACUCUUUUAAAGGAGGUUUUAUAAAAAUAUUUUCUUUAUGAGAGUAAUAUAAGCUCAAUUUCGAAAAAGUGGAGAAUCCAUAGGGCGAUCACGGUUAAGGCGUGCGUGUGCUGUCCAACCAAAUUCACUAUAAAUAACGUAUAAGCAACGAAGUGCUGAGUCAUUUAUCUCGCUGUGGCCAAAGCUCUGAAAUGGAACGGUUUGCACCUGGAGGCCUUGUGUAUUGAUAUUUAAGGCAUAUUCUGGCAGACAGCUACUUACAUCUUCUAGAAAAAUAAUGGAUGCAGAUAUAAGGGAGGAAAGGGAUUUCUGUGGGCCUCUUUCUGUCUGACCAGAAAGAAAUGGCCAUCAGGUGGGGAGGAUGGUGGAGAAAGGAAAUGACACAAAACACCUGUGUUUCAAUUCGAACUUUGCUCAAUGCCUGACACCUGUGAUCUCUGUG
Aethalodelphis obliquidens (Pacific white-sided dolphin) is the source of this 4353-nucleotide long non-coding RNA. RefSeq lists it as uncharacterized. The record is from RefSeq and is a predicted model, not a curated record. NCBI's taxonomy places the organism in Eukaryota, Metazoa, Chordata, Mammalia, Artiodactyla, Delphinidae. The transcript is spliced from 3 exons.